Chenopodium quinoa (quinoa) is the source of this 724-nucleotide long non-coding RNA. RefSeq lists it as uncharacterized. The transcript is spliced from 2 exons. NCBI's taxonomy places the organism in Eukaryota, Viridiplantae, Streptophyta, Magnoliopsida, Caryophyllales, Amaranthaceae. The record is from RefSeq and is a predicted model, not a curated record.
AAGGAUUUAUGUAAUUUUAUGGGAAAGACUAUAGGUACACAUAGUGUACAAAAUAAUAUUGUACACAAAAAUGCUAUUUGUGGAAAGGGGCCGCUGAUUUGGGCACACCCAAAAUUUAUAACCAUACACCCCUUUGGCCCCACUGUAAGUUACUUUCCUAAUUUCCUUCUAAUUUGCACUAAGUCUCACGUGUCCAUUGCCAAUGUUUUACUUUUUUUUUUUUUUUAAUUUUAUUUUUUUAUUUGGACUUUUGUGGGUAAAUUACCCAACUUCCAAAAUCAUAAACAUUGAUUUUGCUUUUUACUCCAUCCCCCUUUUUACACUCCAGUACUCCACCAUUAAUUUGAUACCUCAAAAGCUUCAACCUUUUAUGGAAAUUCACCUUUUUAAUAUAUCUCAAUUGUAAUUGCACUUUAUUAUAAUUAGGAAGAUGGAUGGAGAAUUUGAUUUUGAAGGGAUUAAUGAUAAUGAAUUUUGGGAGCUUUAUGGGCUAGAUGAUUUGCAUAAUGUACUAGAGGAGAAUGGCCAUGAAGACUGCAAUUCUUCACAUUCUCAUAUGAAUGGUUCACCAGAAUUUGAUAAUCAUCAACCUCCUCAAACGCCCACUAAUAUGUAUCAACUUUCAUCCCAAAAAUUUUCAAAUAGAGAAAUAUUGUUGGAGACUGUUCGAGGAAUGGCCUACUCACUAGGCUUUGUUACGGUGAUUCAAAAAUCCAAAAAAAAA